RNAcentral lists this ribosomal RNA (320 nucleotides) under uncultured Thermus sp. Its description in RNAcentral is "bacterial SSU rRNA". It matches the Rfam family "Bacterial small subunit ribosomal RNA", at positions 1061 to 1382 of the family's 1533-position model. Lineage: Bacteria; Thermotogati; Deinococcota; Deinococci; Thermales; Thermaceae. The record is from RNAcentral.
CGUGCCGUGACGGUGUUGGGUUAAGUCCCGCAACGAGCGCAACCCCGCCGUAGUUGCCAGCGGUUCGGCCGGGCACUCUAACGGGACUGCCCGCGAAAGCGGGAGGAAGGAGGGGACGACGUCUGGUCAGCAUGGCCCUUACGGCCUGGGCGACACACGUGCUACAAUGCCCACUACAAAGCGAUGCCACCCGGCAACGGGGAGCUAAUCGCAAAAAGGUGGGCCCAGUUCGGAUUGGGGUCUGCAACCCGACCCCAUGAAGCCGGAAUCGCUAGUAAUCGCGGAUCAGCCAUGCCGCGGUGAAUACGUUCCCGGGCCUU